Fundulus heteroclitus (mummichog) is the source of this 127-nucleotide long non-coding RNA. RefSeq lists it as uncharacterized. The transcript is spliced from 5 exons. The record is from RefSeq and is a predicted model, not a curated record. Lineage: Eukaryota; Metazoa; Chordata; Actinopteri; Cyprinodontiformes; Fundulidae.
AAACUAAAAAGGCCGACGUGAACGGAGCACGGUGGAAAUCAUAACAAAGGCAUGAACGCCGAGCAGGGAAAAAAACAAAGCUUACCGUUGAAUCAACUCGGCCCGUCUUCCGGUUUUUUUGAGCCCU